UACGUAGGGAGCAAGCGUUGUCCGGAAUUACUGGGCGUAAAGGGUGCGUAGGCGGUAUGGCAAGUCAGAUGUGAAAUCCCCGGGCUUAACUCGGGUGGUGCAUUUGAAACUGCUGUACUUGAGUGCAGGAGAGGAAAGCGGAAUUCCUAGUGUAGCGGUGAAAUGCGUAGAUAUUAGGAGGAACACCAGUGGCGAAGGCGACUCUCUGGACUGUAACUGACGCUGAGGCACGAAAGCGUGGGGAG
Molecule: ribosomal RNA, 245 nt
Filed under: uncultured Eubacteriales bacterium
Lineage: Bacteria; Bacillati; Bacillota; Clostridia; Eubacteriales
Description: uncultured Clostridiales bacterium partial 16S ribosomal RNA
Rfam family: Bacterial small subunit ribosomal RNA
Source: RNAcentral